RNAcentral lists this ribosomal RNA (459 nucleotides) under uncultured bacterium. Its description in RNAcentral is "partial 16S ribosomal RNA". It matches the Rfam family "Bacterial small subunit ribosomal RNA", at positions 338 to 795 of the family's 1533-position model. The record is from RNAcentral.
CCUACGGGAGGCAGCAGUGAGGAAUAUUGGUCAUUGGUCGGGAGACUGAACCAGCCAAGCCGCGUGAGGGAUGAAGGUACAGAGUAUCGUAAACCUCUUUUGUCAGGGAACAAAGGCGGGGACGUGUCCCCGGAUGAGUGUACCUGAAGAAAAAGCAUCGGCUAACUCCGUGCCAGCAGCCGCGGUAAUACGGAGGAUGCGAGCGUUAUCCGGAUUUAUUGGGUGUAAAGGGUUCGCAGGCGGUCUGUUAAGUCAGCGGUCAAAGCCCGGGGCUCAACCCCGGCCCGCCGUUGAAACUGGCAGUCGCGAGUUGGAGAGAAGUAUGCGGAAUGCGCGGUGUAGCGGUGAAAUGCAUAGAUAUCGCGCAGAACUCCGAUUGCGAAGGCAGCAUGCCGGCUCCACACUGACGCUGAGGCACGAAAGCGUGGGUAUCGAACAGGAUUAGAUACCCUUGUAGUC